GGCUGACUCUGAACCAGGACACUGAAUCAGUUGGCACCUUGAUUUUGGACCUCCCAGCCUCCAGCGCAUUUCUGCUCAGGAAAAAAAAGAAGAGAAAAGAGAAGGGAAGAAAAGAAAAAAAGGAAAGGAAAGGAAAGAAUGUGUAUGAAAAAGACAGUACUCUGAACUAACCCAAAGUUUCACAUGUGCAAAAUACAGAAGAUUUGUCUCAAUCUUGGAGCCCAAAAAUGAUGCAAUAUUAAGAAAUCCACCAACUUGCAGAUGCUUCCAUGACACCAUCCUGACUUCCCUGGACAGAUGAUUUCACUAAUGUACCCAGGAGCCCCGCCUUCCCAGAGCCCUAUCCAACUAGGGAAAGACAGAAACAGCCUGGGGGGGUCCCCCCUCCCUCUCUCUUUUUGGUGGAGAGAUGCCAGUUUGGACAACUCCCAAGGACCAGACUUUUGUGGCCAGACUUUGUAGGAACAAAAUACAAGUCCCC
This is a long non-coding RNA of Erinaceus europaeus (western European hedgehog), 481 nucleotides long. RefSeq lists it as uncharacterized. NCBI's taxonomy places the organism in Eukaryota, Metazoa, Chordata, Mammalia, Eulipotyphla, Erinaceidae. The transcript is spliced from 4 exons. The record is from RefSeq and is a predicted model, not a curated record.